Small nucleolar RNA from Laticauda laticaudata (blue-ringed sea krait), 89 nucleotides. Lineage: Eukaryota; Metazoa; Chordata; Lepidosauria; Squamata; Elapidae. The record is from Ensembl.
UCUGGCAGUGAUGAUGCUCUUGCCCUCACUGAGACUCUGAGUCUAUAAUGAGAACUUUUAUUGGAAGGACUCGUUGCCUCUGAGCCAGA